This 486-nucleotide ribosomal RNA is filed under the name uncultured bacterium. RNAcentral's name for it is "partial 16S ribosomal RNA". It matches the Rfam family "Bacterial small subunit ribosomal RNA", at positions 30 to 507 of the family's 1533-position model. The record is from RNAcentral.
AUUGAACGCUGGCGGCAUGCCUUACACAUGCAAGUCGAACGGCAGCACGGGUGCUUGCCCCUGGUGGCGAGUGGCGCACGGGUGAGUAAUACAUCGGAACAUGUCCUGUAGUGGGGGAUAGCCCGGCGAAAGCCGGAUUAAUACCGCAUACGAUCUACGGAUGAAAGCGGGGGACCUUCUGGCCUCGCGCUUUAGGGUUGGCCGAUGGCUGAUUAGCUAGUUGGUGGGGUAAAGGCCUACCAAGGCGACGAUCAGUAGCUGGUCUGAGAGGACGACCAGCCACACUGGGACUGAGACACGGCCCAGACUCCUACGGGAGGCAGCAGUGGGGAAUUUUGGACAAUGGGCGAAAGCCUGAUCCAGCAAUGCCGCGUGUGUGAAGAAGGCCUUCGGGUUGUAAAGCACUUUUGUCCGGAAAGAAAUCCUUGGCCCUAAUACGGUCGGGGGAUGACGGUACCGGAAGAAUAAGCACCGGCUAACUACGUG